This 1014-nucleotide long non-coding RNA is filed under the name Homo sapiens (human). Its description in RNAcentral is "HSALNT0053229". The record is from RNAcentral. Lineage: Eukaryota; Metazoa; Chordata; Mammalia; Primates; Hominidae.
CACAUGGUUACAUUUCUUCCUUGCUAUAUAAGCACCUAAUUUUAGUCACGUGAGACGGAUUUGAGACUGAUCUGCCAUUCUCCUUGGCUGCAACACUUGAAUAAAGCCUUCUUUUCUGGCGAUACUCACUGUUCCAGUAAUCAGCUUUCUAUGUGGCAAGCAAAAGUACCUGGACCAAACCCCUGGCAUUUCGGAAAAAAAACAAGUUACUUUUAAUGCCGUCAUCAUCAUUAUCAUUACUAUCAACAACAACAAAACAAUAAGGACAAUAAACAGGAAUUGGACACCUCUGCAGUCCUUGAGGGAAGCAACAAUAUUAAAGAAGCCUGUUCAUCCUUGAGUAGAAGCAACAGAAGAUAAUACCCAAAUGCUGACUGCCGUUGUGGAAAAAACUCACCCAUAUCCUGCCUGUAGUUAACGGCAGAGGUACUGCAUCCUGCAGUGUUGGAAUGGUCUAAGGAGGCUGCUGAGUUGGAUCUCACUGGCUUACAUGUUCAUCUAAACCUCUUUCCUAUGGAUUCAUGCGUAUGCCUGGUUUUUGUCUAAUGCCAGAUCUGAGGUAGAGUGAAUGUGUGCCCUUCCCCAUUACAAACACUUGGAUUGAUAUCUUCUCUUGGGUUAGAGAAUAGAAUUUCCUUCUGAGGAUAAAGUGGACAGUGUGCAUUAGAUCUAUCCCAUGAAGUUCCUGCUGGUUAUGGUGAAUGGGAACCAACCUCACUAGGGUGAAAGUUAAAAUUCACCACUGAUUGAAUUAGAACAAUUGUUCAUGCUGUUCAAGAGCAGAGAACAGUCUGAUAUCUAAAGAGUUUAGUUAAGCCCCAAGGAGCAAUUUUUCUCUCCUGUUCUAAGUUUUCCUCUUGAGUUUUUCCCCUGUGGGAAUUAUUAUCGUGUUUGCAACAUUGAAAGUUUUGAUUGACAUUUCCUACACUUGCAGGUUUUUAACACAAACUUCAGUUUGAUGACAAUAUAACCAAAUCCCAGGGACAUGAAUAAAACACUCCUUUUAAAUUUUUA